This 1016-nucleotide long non-coding RNA is filed under the name Capra hircus (goat). RNAcentral describes it as "lncRNA (ENSCHIG00000001917.1)". The record is from RNAcentral. Lineage: Eukaryota; Metazoa; Chordata; Mammalia; Artiodactyla; Bovidae.
AUUCAGACUUUCCCCAUGAGAGUAGGUAAUCCCAGUCUAUGAGAAUUGAAAUCUGAAGUUCAGGAGACACUCACAUCUGGGUGUUAAAUGUCCCCAGAAAAACCAAGGUGGCAACUCAUGUUCUUGUUGGGAGGGUGGUUCCCGUUGUCAGAUAUCCAUGACCUUCCUUUGGGAAAGGAAGGACCAGCAGGGAGAAGGAGCUACUUAGAGACUCCAGCCUGCCAUGAGGAUGAAGGGGAGGAAGGAGAUACACAUGCUCGGAGUGGACCUAAUGGACAUUUCCACAGAGAUCAAAGAGCCAAGGCCUGGGAGCAAGCAGGACUCACGGCGGCUAGCCUUCCAAUGGAGGCUUUUGUUUUGUCUCCCUGCUCUUCAAAGGCGCAGGUCAGGAUUCUCCUGGUCUAGAGAGAGGGGAGCAAGGACAUGGUGCCUGGCAGCUCACAGACUACAACCACUACCAUCCAGCAGCUGGGGACGGGGACACAGGAGGUGUCCAGCACAGACAGUCUGCCACUGCUGCCUAGGACCAGAGUAAAGUGUCUGUGUCUCUAGAUAGCCUUUCACUCUGACUGGGCUGUGCAGGCCCCCUGGAAGCCCCAUCAGAGAUGGCCUACUUAGCUAGCGAGGCCUGGCUGGCUGCCAUGUAAGCAAAGGCUUCUAACAAGCUGUGGUCUCCACAGACUCACCUGAGACGCUAAACAUCUUCGCUCCAAGGACACCUUCCCUGUCUGUACCCAGGCGCGUGCGCUCACUCCAGGCCCCUCCUCCCUCCCACUCUCCUUCUCUUUCUUGGCAUAGAUUUGCCGGUCAAACUGAGAAAUAAAGGCCUCAGAUGUUCAAUGUGCUAAACUUUAUGACUGUUUUGAACAGAAAUGUGAACCUUCCUGUGGAUGAAUCUGGUGACCCAAAGUGAAGCCAAGGCAGUUUUAAAUCUUGAGCUUGGCCACUGUAAUUGCCAAAGUUUAUUUAGCCUGGAUGUCAGUCCUGCAUUUUGCACAUUAAAGUCUCCCAAUCCA